UUGGAUUCUGACAGAUGGGUCGCCAGCCGCUGUCAAAGCACCUGACCAAGACUGACAACUGGUGAAUGGAAAACCGGAAUAAGCACUUGGAAGAAGAAAACCGACAACUGAGACAACUUGCCUUUGAUUUGCCUGGCAUAAUGGAUACUUUGAAACCACAAGAGCGCAGCUAAUAGCACUGAAGAAUGAUGGUGGAAGUUCAUCCUGUGUGGGUGUAUUGUGUGCAUCACCUUCUGUCCUGUCUGAAGAGUUGAACUCAUCUCCUUGUCAAGUGUCGUACUCAAGGCCUAAACAGCUGCUACUUUGGCAAAGUUUCCUGGGACUUCAUAAGCUG
Rana temporaria (common frog) is the source of this 334-nucleotide long non-coding RNA. RefSeq lists it as uncharacterized. The transcript is spliced from 3 exons. Lineage: Eukaryota; Metazoa; Chordata; Amphibia; Anura; Ranidae. The record is from RefSeq and is a predicted model, not a curated record.